CCGCCCUCUCUGCCGUCUUCUUCCUUCGAUUCCCCUUUGCUACUUUCUAUCGACCCUCCGCUAUGGGACUGCAAGGCCGAUUAACAAUUGUGGCGACAGUAAGCCGCGAUGAUACUGCAAGACAAUGCGCCGAUCUCCACUCCUAGCCACUGGCGUGCGUGCAUAGCGGCUCGUUUGCUGUUGUAAGGUCUAUCGUCGCCACUGCUUGCUGCGUUGCAGCAUCUCCCUCCGCCGCCAUGCUCCGUCGCAGUAUCCAUCAUUGCCGCCGCGUGCUUUAUCGCAGCCCCCGUUGUUGUCGCUCUACGUUGCAGUGAAGCUUCGCCGACGACAUGGGAUGCUGCGGUGGAGCUUCGACGGGGCAACCGGUGCUGCGAUGGAGCACCGCCGCUCGGUGGUCGCGCUAUUGGGUAUUUCAGUUGUGCACAAUAACACUCCAUGGCAGCCAUUCUGUAGGUGUUAGUUUUCUUCAGAAGUUUCAGUAGUUUCAGAAACAUUCAGACUUUUAGUUCAAUUUUUUGUUAGCACACGAGGGCACGAUUGUGGUGUGUUCUGGGCGAAUAGGUAGUAGGCCAGCUGCACGACUUCGCCCAUGGGAUGGCUCGGGCAUGAUGGGGUUGUUGCUAGCAUUGUGGCAAGUCUUUAGAUCACUGAAUAAAAGGAUAAAAGAAAUAGAAAAGCAGCAGAACUUGCACUGCACAAAAUCUCUUCCCCGUCCUUGUUCGUCUGUGUGUGUGUGUUCAGAGAGUGAGUGAGAGAGAGAGAGAGAGAGAGUGAGAGAGGAAGGAGGUGGUCCAGAGAGCAUAUCCGGCAACAGGCGCUGCAGUGGAUCUUCACCGCCGUCCGUCGAGAUUGUGGCUGAAGACUGCAAGUUCGUGCGCUCUGGAAGCUGCUGCAGCCGCAAGGAGUUUGUGAGGGAAAUAAUGAAGCAAGUGAGAGCAGAAUCGGAGCAAUGGACUAAGUUGUAGGACAUGCUGGAGCAGGUCAGGCUAGAGAUGCAAGAGCUGCAGACUUCCACGGAUACAUGGCAGCGCCGUGCCAUUGCUUCUGACAUCAGUCUUGGUUCCUUGAAUUCUGAGGUUAGUGGGCUAUACUUAUGCUUGCAUCAUCAGUGCCUCGAAAUAUUUCUUGGGUUUACAUGCCUGUUGUGUUUUCUAUGAUAUCAUGUCAAAAGUGCAGCCAAUUUUGGAAUUCAGACUAAGAAGUUUUGGCUGAACAAAAGGAGUGAUCAUUUCAGAUGCUGGAGUGGAAACCACGCGCCACCGGGGCUGCAGUGAAGCGCUUGGGGUUGUUGAAGCUUUAGCGAGGGUUGCAAUGAAGCACCGCCCGGACGCUGCUGCCAUGGGAGGUGCUGCGACCCAUGUAUCUCGCCGACGGCAAAAGUUGGCAACGCAACACGCAUGGUGCUGCGCGCGCUGCGGCGGAGCUUCAAUGCAUCACCGGUGUUGCUAUGGAGCAUCCUCGGGCCGCCGGAGCAUCAUCGGUGCGGCAAUGGAGCAUCACGGAGCACUGCCGGUGUUACGAUGGAGCAUUGCCAGGCCGCCAGAGCAUCAUCGAUGCUGCAAUGGAGCAUCCCGGAGCGCUGUCGGUGUUGCUAUGGAGCAUCUUCGGGCCGCCGGAGCAUCAUCGAUGCUGCAAUGGAGCGUCACGGAGCGCUGCCGGUGUUACGAUGGAGCAUCGUCGGGCUGCUGGAGCAUCAUCGGUGAUGUAAUGGAGCAUCCCGGAGCGGCACCGGUGUUAUGAUGGAGCAUCACUGGGCCACCAGAGCAUGACGGGUGCUUCAUGGUCGCAGCGUCAUUACUGCAACCCGGUGCUGCAACCCCGAGCUCGCCAGCGCUACAGCCGUGGCCAUUGUGUGGCGAGCUUGUAGGCGUUUUAGUGUGAGCUGACCAGCGACGUGACUGCUGCAUGGCUAGUGCAAGCUAGCAAGCAUUCCUAGUGGUUGUAAUUGAACAUGUUAGGAUGGAGUGAUCGAUGCUGUGAUCCUACCGUGGUUCAUGGGAUUGUGCGGCUCUAAUCAAAUUCUGCUGGUACAAAUCGACGGCUGGCUAGGCGGAUGAUUUCUUCGGUUGAUCCCUAGCAGCCGCCAUUGUAUUAUCACUUUUGUAUACUUCAUAUGACAUUUUAUAUUGUUUUUAUGGACUAACCUAUUAACUCA
Long non-coding RNA from Triticum aestivum (bread wheat), 2155 nucleotides. RefSeq lists it as uncharacterized. The record is from RefSeq and is a predicted model, not a curated record. NCBI's taxonomy places the organism in Eukaryota, Viridiplantae, Streptophyta, Magnoliopsida, Poales, Poaceae. The transcript is spliced from 3 exons.